RNAcentral lists this ribosomal RNA (1426 nucleotides) under Pediococcus acidilactici. RNAcentral describes it as "bacterial SSU rRNA". It matches the Rfam family "Bacterial small subunit ribosomal RNA". The record is from RNAcentral. Lineage: Bacteria; Bacillati; Bacillota; Bacilli; Lactobacillales; Lactobacillaceae.
CUUCCGUUAAUUGAUUAUGACGUGCUUGCACUGAAUGAGAUUUUAACACGAAGUGAGUGGCGGACGGGUGAGUAACACGUGGGUAACCUGCCCAGAAGCAGGGGAUAACACCUGGAAACAGAUGCUAAUACCGUAUAACAGAGAAAACCGCCUGGUUUUCUUUUAAAAGAUGGCUCUGCUAUCACUUCUGGAUGGACCCGCGGCGCAUUAGCUAGUUGGUGAGGUAACGGCUCACCAAGGCGAUGAUGCGUAGCCGACCUGAGAGGGUAAUCGGCCACAUUGGGACUGAGACACGGCCCAGACUCCUACGGGAGGCAGCAGUAGGGAAUCUUCCACAAUGGACGCAAGUCUGAUGGAGCAACGCCGCGUGAGUGAAGAAGGGUUUCGGCUCGUAAAGCUCUGUUGUUAAAGAAGAACGUGGGUGAGAGUAACUGUUCACCCAGUGACGGUAUUUAACCAGAAAGCCACGGCUAACUACGUGCCAGCAGCCGCGGUAAUACGUAGGUGGCAAGCGUUAUCCGGAUUUAUUGGGCGUAAAGCGAGCGCAGGCGGUCUUUUAAGUCUAAUGUGAAAGCCUUCGGCUCAACCGAAGAAGUGCAUUGGAAACUGGGAGACUUGAGUGCAGAAGAGGACAGUGGAACUCCAUGUGUAGCGGUGAAAUGCGUAGAUAUAUGGAAGAACACCAGUGGCGAAGGCGGCUGUCUGGUCUGUAACUGACGCUGAGGCUCGAAAGCAUGGGUAGCGAACAGGAUUAGAUACCCUGGUAGUCCAUGCCGUAAACGAUGAUUACUAAGUGUUGGAGGGUUUCCGCCCUUCAGUGCUGCAGCUAACGCAUUAAGUAAUCCGCCUGGGGAGUACGACCGCAAGGUUGAAACUCAAAAGAAUUGACGGGGGCCCGCACAAGCGGUGGAGCAUGUGGUUUAAUUCGAAGCUACGCGAAGAACCUUACCAGGUCUUGACAUCUUCUGCCAACCUAAGAGAUUAGGCGUUCCCUUCGGGGACAGAAUGACAGGUGGUGCAUGGUUGUCGUCAGCUCGUGUCGUGAGAUGUUGGGUUAAGUCCCGCAACGAGCGCAACCCUUAUUACUAGUUGCCAGCAUUCAGUUGGGCACUCUAGUGAGACUGCCGGUGACAAACCGGAGGAAGGUGGGGACGACGUCAAAUCAUCAUGCCCCUUAUGACCUGGGCUACACACGUGCUACAAUGGAUGGUACAACGAGUCGCGAAACCGCGAGGUUUAGCUAAUCUCUUAAAACCAUUCUCAGUUCGGACUGUAGGCUGCAACUCGCCUACACGAAGUCGGAAUCGCUAGUAAUCGCGGAUCAGCAUGCCGCGGUGAAUACGUUCCCGGGCCUUGUACACACCGCCCGUCACACCAUGAGAGUUUGUAACACCCAAAGCCGGUGGGGUAACCUUUUAGGAGCUAG